GUGGUAUCGCUUCUCCCUAG
This 20-nucleotide non-coding RNA is filed under the name Arabidopsis thaliana (thale cress). Lineage: Eukaryota; Viridiplantae; Streptophyta; Magnoliopsida; Brassicales; Brassicaceae. The record is from RNAcentral.